This 418-nucleotide unclassified non-coding RNA is filed under the name soil metagenome. RNAcentral describes it as "partial contains 5.8S ribosomal RNA, internal transcribed spacer 2, and large subunit ribosomal RNA". The stretch from base 1 to 120 matches the Rfam family "5.8S ribosomal RNA", at positions 35 to 154 of the family's 154-position model. The record is from RNAcentral.
GAUGAAGAACGCAGCGAAAUGCGAUAAGUAAUGUGAAUUGCAGAAUUCAGUGAAUCAUCGAAUCUUUGAACGCAUCUUGCGCUCCUUGGUAUUCCUUGGAGCAUGCCUGUUUGAGUAUCAUGAGCAAAUCUCAAAGUCAAUUCCUUUUGUUGAUUCAAUUGGUUUUGCUUUGGACUUGGAGGCCUUGCAGAUUUCACAGUCUGCUCCUCUUAAAUGCAUUAGCUGGAUCUCAGUAAUUAUGCUUGGUUCCACUCGGCGUGAUAAGUAUCACUCGCUGAGGACACUGUUAAAAAGGUGGCCAGGAAAAUACUGAGUGAACCGCUUCUAACGGUCUAUUAAGUUAGACAAUUACCCUUAAGUUUGAUCUCAAAUCAGGUAGGACUACCCGCUGAACUUAAGCAUAUCAAUAAGCGGAGGA